GCGAAGGACGGGGUAGCGGCCGGGGUAGGAGGGAGGGGGCAAGGGUGGGCCGAAGUGAAUGGGGGGGAAGGGCGUGGAGGCGGGCUGUUAAGUUCAGGGGGAAAGCGCCCGGCUCAACUAGGGGAGGUCCUUGGAGACUGGCAGGCUGGAGGGAGGUAGAGGAGAGUGGAAUUCCCGGUGUAGUGGUGAUAUGCGUAGAUAUCGGGAGGAACACCAGUGGCGAAGGCGGCUCUCUGGGCCUUUCCUGACGCUGAGACGCGAAAGCGUGGGGAGCGAACCGGAUUAGAUACCCGAGUAGUC
This 300-nucleotide ribosomal RNA is filed under the name uncultured Prosthecochloris sp. RNAcentral's name for it is "bacterial SSU rRNA". The stretch from base 68 to 300 matches the Rfam family "Bacterial small subunit ribosomal RNA", at positions 563 to 795 of the family's 1533-position model. Lineage: Bacteria; Pseudomonadati; Chlorobiota; Chlorobiia; Chlorobiales; Chlorobiaceae. The record is from RNAcentral.